AAAUAAAAAAAACGAUAACAAAUAUUAAUAAAAAUAUAAAAAAAAUAAAAUACAUAUUCGUAAUUAAUAAAAAUACAAAUUUAUACAACCGUUAUAAAAAAUAAUAUAAAAAUUUCUCAAAAAACUAAAAAUAAAAUUAUUAAUUAAACAUUUCCUCUUCUAAAUACAUUUCCAAAACACAUAAAAACAUUAACUCAAAAAUAUAU
RNAcentral lists this unclassified non-coding RNA (206 nucleotides) under Hevea brasiliensis (rubber tree). The record is from RNAcentral. Lineage: Eukaryota; Viridiplantae; Streptophyta; Magnoliopsida; Malpighiales; Euphorbiaceae.